RNAcentral lists this unclassified non-coding RNA (354 nucleotides) under Hevea brasiliensis (rubber tree). Lineage: Eukaryota; Viridiplantae; Streptophyta; Magnoliopsida; Malpighiales; Euphorbiaceae. The record is from RNAcentral.
GUAAUCCUACUUAAUUCACCGAUGCAUUUUUUUAGUUCACAACCCUAGCCUAGUUAUAAGUCAAUGCCAAAAGGACUCUUCGCGUCAAUUACCAGAAACUUCCAUUUCGACUGCACAGACACAAUACCCUACAAGCCUGCCUAGACCACCCCCACAAUUGCUAAUGUAGCUCAUUUUUCAGUCAGGUGAUUCAUCAAACAGCUUAUGUGCAUGACAUAGCAAGUACAGCUGAAACCCUAAUUCGUUCAUGUAACCUCACAAUUUUGUAGGGGAUUAUAAUUAUAGCUCAAUAACCACAAUUGCAAUAACAUUCAACAAUUCUCAACGAACAAUUUGAACAUGACAAUCAAAAAU